Cucurbita moschata (crookneck pumpkin) is the source of this 527-nucleotide long non-coding RNA. RefSeq lists it as uncharacterized. NCBI's taxonomy places the organism in Eukaryota, Viridiplantae, Streptophyta, Magnoliopsida, Cucurbitales, Cucurbitaceae. The transcript is spliced from 3 exons. The record is from RefSeq and is a predicted model, not a curated record.
UCAUUUUCCGGUCUCCUUCUUCUCUGCAUUUUCGAUUCCUCUACUCUUCUUUUCCAACGGGUAAACUCCGUCCUUCCUUUUGUUUACUUCUCUCAAUCUGCCGGAGGUGGAGCCUUUUCAGAGCGAUUCUUCGGCGUAAAGAACCGAUCCAACAGUGUGGAUGGAGUUGCAUCGUUGAUCUUCUCGCUGAGGUCAUGUGAAAACAUGCUGUGGAAAACCGGUGAUCGUGAAGCAAGAAUAGCACGAUGAGCUCCAACGCUUCCAUCAGAAGCAUUAAUUAUAAUAUCCGUGUGGAUGCUUUCCUUCAACAUUCGACCCAACGAAAUAAGAGCUCGUUCAUUUGAUCGUUUUUGUGACAGUCCAUUAGUCCAGAUGGAGGAAGGUUCCCCACCCUGUUAGUAAUUUGACAACAAUGGGUUAAAAGAGGAGUGAAACAAAAGAGAACGAGAAUGAAAUUACCUGGAUGAGUCCAAGCCUUCCGACCUCCUGCAGAGGAAACCACUCGGAUGGUGAAAGAUACAAUUGGG